RNAcentral lists this long non-coding RNA (1044 nucleotides) under Nannospalax galili (Upper Galilee mountains blind mole rat). Its description in RNAcentral is "lncRNA (ENSNGAG00000024438.1)". Lineage: Eukaryota; Metazoa; Chordata; Mammalia; Rodentia; Spalacidae. The record is from RNAcentral.
GGAAUGGAAGCAAAGAUUGAGAAGGGUGGAGUCAGGUGUGGAGCCUUUGGGACAGCAAGGGGAGCACAGUGCUGAGUGUGUCCCGUCCCUUUCAGCCUCACUAACACAUUCCCUUUCCUGUGUCUUCUUUCAAGGGAAGAAGAAGGGGCCCAGCUCUGUGGUUGUUGAACCACAGGGCUGGGUUCGGCCUGAUUGUGGACCGAGAGCCACACGGGGGACCCAGGCCGAAACUCAAAGAGGCGCUGUUGCCUGAACACCCAGCGCCCACCAUCCACCAAUGGGAAUCACAACAAGGGCCCUGCACCUCUUGGUUUCUUGGAUUGCGAUUUUUCCUGAACUUUGCAGAAGGUUCUGUUCCUGUUUUGAAAGUAAAGCAGGCCCUGCCAGGCCUGGGCCACAGAGACCGUGCAAGUACAGUAGCCGUGGAACUACUUUGUCCUGAGAGCCCACCGCUUCUCUCAGGCCCAGCAGGGAUCCUUGACAUCCAGAAGAUUGGUACUUGCAGCCAGUGGUGCUGUACGGGGCAAUGCUGGCUGCAGUGACUGCAGUGUUCUCCUGGGCUCCUUUCAGGUGGAGGCACCGGCUGUUUGUUCAGGGACAGUGCACCUGGCUCUGGAUGAAGGAAAUAAAUCUGGGUAUCAUGAGGCUGAGGGGACAGAGUCCACUAGGUUCCUGUUUAUGUGUAAGAUGAGUUUUUGAGGCAUAGUCUUGACUUCUAGUUUGCUGAGUUUUUUAGAGAAGUGACAUGAAGAAAGAUGAGGUGGCCAGUGAAGCCCCCCCAUCACUCCUACGGGAAGUUGACAUUGGCCUUGCCUUUCUGAAAUGCAAAGUGAGAAUGACAGACAAUGGGUCAUAUGGAUAGGGAUGGCCCCUGGGGACUAGCGUGCUAGGCAACAGGUCUCUGCUCUGACCUAUUGUCCUCAGACCAUUGUGGACAUCAUCUUACAUCUGUAUGGCAUGACAGCCAUGCAGUAACCAGCCAUCAUUGCAUUGCAUCAUGUUCUGAACCAUGAGCACCAGGUGAAUCCAACCUGAGAAACAGGG